AACGAACGCUGGCGGCAGGCCUAACACAUGCAAGUCGAACGAGAAGCUACCUUCGGGUAGUGGAAAGUGGCAGACGGGUGAGUAACGCGUGGGAAUAUACCUAGAGGUACGGGACAACGCCGGGAAACUGGUGCUAAUACCGUAUACGCCCUUCGGGGGAAAGAUUUAUCGCCUUUAGAUUAGCCCGCGUUAGAUUAGCUUGUUGGUGAGGUAAAAGCUCACCAAGGCGACGAUCUAUAGCUGGUCUGAGAGGAUGAUCAGCCACACUGGGACUGAGACACGGCCCAGACUCCUACGGGAGGCAGCAGUGGGGAAUCUUGCACAAUGGGCGAAAGCCUGAUGCAGCCAUGCCGCGUGAGUGAUGAAGGCCUUAGGGUUGUAAAACUCUUUCAGUGGGGAAGAUAAUGACGUACCCACAGAAGAAGCUCCGCUAAC
Molecule: ribosomal RNA, 435 nt
Filed under: uncultured bacterium
Lineage: Bacteria
Description: bacterial SSU rRNA
Rfam family: Bacterial small subunit ribosomal RNA
Source: RNAcentral